RNAcentral lists this long non-coding RNA (1023 nucleotides) under Pogona vitticeps (central bearded dragon). Its description in RNAcentral is "lncRNA (ENSPVIG00000003271.1)". The record is from RNAcentral. Lineage: Eukaryota; Metazoa; Chordata; Lepidosauria; Squamata; Agamidae.
UCUCAUCUGCCAGGAGUGGUGGGGGUGGUUUCAGGUGGCCCCCCAGAAAGCAUGAAUGGCCGUCGUCCAUCUAGCUGGACAGGGAGUAUUGUUUGCUUCUGACCAGCUUUGGAUACCUUUUUCAAGGUCUGUGAGCUGCAAAGGAAUUAUCUAUGCUCUGUGCACAGGUGGCAAGAUGGAUUGGACCCAAGAUGUCAGAAGUGAAAUCUGGAUGCAAAUUUGGAAGCCUAUGCUGUGAAAAAAUGCUAAAUGAUGACUGUGUGCGGAUCCAUGUGAAACAACAGAAUGCUGGUCCACUAUAUGAACUAAUGCACUUGGAUGUAUGCCCUUUUCCCGCUCUCCCCACCCUUCAUUCAAUCAACAGAUAUACCACAGCUCUUUAUUUGAAGGGAAGGACCCAAAGCAACCCUCCCUCCCUGUAAGAAGCACAUUGGAACGUAGCAGGCAAGAAUGUAAGCUUCAACCAUCAGAAUAUGGGUUUGGGUUGGGAUAGAAUGAUUGGGAGGGAUGUUACCAUAGCUGUUGGGGUUUUUUGAAUGACCACACAUCCUAUCUCUUUUCCAUUCAAUGCAUACUUUGUGGGUUGGCUGCUGUGCUCUCUGACCUGGUGGUACUAUUAAUCCCAAGUUGAUUCAUAAAAGUAAAACAAUCAUGGGACGUGGUGGCGCUGCGGGUUAAACCGCAGAAGCCUCUGUGCUGCAAGGUCAGAAGACCUGCAGUCGUAAGAUCGAAUCCACACGAUGGAGUGAGCCCCCGUCGCUUGUCCCAGCUCCCGCCAACCUAGCAGUUUGAAAGCAUGCAAAAUGCAAAAAUGUGAGUAGAUAAAUAGGUACCACCUUGGUGGGAAGGUAAACGGCGUUCCGUGUCUAGUCGCACUGGCCACAUGACCACGGAAGAUUGUCUUUGGAAACGGAGAUGAGCACCGCCCCCUAGAGUUGGACAUGACUGGACAAAUUGUCAAGGGCAACUUGUUUUCAAAUGGGUUUGCGCUCAGUGGUAUAGCGGAAUCAGGACCGGAACAGA